This 1580-nucleotide long non-coding RNA is filed under the name Mytilus galloprovincialis (Mediterranean mussel). Lineage: Eukaryota; Metazoa; Mollusca; Bivalvia; Mytilida; Mytilidae. The record is from RNAcentral.
GUUGCAUUCAUUUAUUAGCUAAACGACAUCAAGCACUAUUACAUCAAUAUACACGUAAAAUAAUCAAAUUAAAGCCAUUAAAUUAUGUGUGAAGGAGAAAGUAUGAAAGCGCCACGCUGGCAUCACUGCCUCCUUUUGGAAUCGUUCGUUUGAUAUUUGAAAAUGAAAAGCCUUAACCAAAAAGAUGUUUUGCCACAAGAGGUGGAUAUACAUUUACAAAUGUCAAAGUUAUUUAAUGUGUAUGGAGUAAAUUUAAUUUUCAAAUAUAAUUGUUUUGAACUUGACAAUUUCAAAUUCAAAAUAUUUAAUCGUUAAGAAAACAAUUCCAAAUUAUGGCUGCUAUCAUAUCUCCUUUUUUAUACUUUUGAUCAAAACGACUUGAAACCAAAAGCAAGUACACAAUUGCGUUACACAUUGCACAUUUAAACUUUUAAUCAUAGUUUGCUCAUUUAACACACAUAAACAACACACAAAGUUAUCAAUAGAAAAUUCGGAUUUUCGACAUAACUAAAACAUGUUAUACAUUAUUAAAAAAAUCUGACGUAUCUCACUUAAUUACAAUUUUCUAAAUUUGAUAGAUGCUUUAUGUGCUUCUUUGUUAAAUAUUUGUUUGCUUUUGCUCUUAUUGAGAUUGUGACAAAAUGAUGUACCCCAACUUUGACAAUUUUACCUAUUUUAAUAAAAUUGAGAAAGGAAAUGGGGAAUGUGUCAAAGCAACAAGAACCCGACCAUAAAGCAGACAACAGCCGAAUGCCAUGUUUGAUUUGUUCACGCAUCGUUGUAAAUAUUAUUGAAUAUGAUGCCACUGUCAUACAAAUGAGAGGUUUCGCCGUUUUAAACCAGGUUUAAUCCACCAUUAUCUUAUUUGAAAAUGCCAGUACCAAGUCAGGUAUAUGACAGUUAUUGUCUAUUCAUUUGAUGUGCUUUAUCAUUUGAUUUGGCCAUUUGAUUAGGGACUUUUCGUUUUUAUUUUCCUCGGAGUUAUUUUUUUUUGUAAUUUUACUUUUUUUCGAAUACUAUUAAUUUUAAGCCAAAAAUAAAGGCACGAUAUCUCUGCUAUUAACGAUAAUAAUUAAAUACGUAUACAUUUUAGUACUGGUGUAAUGCAAGCUGCUAACAUAUUGUAAUUACUAUCAUAUUAUUUUAUGUUUUGACUAAUUUGCCUUUUUAAAUUCGUAAGAAAUAUAAACAUACCAUUGAGGUUUUGGUUGAUGUUCCUUGAUUAGUACGUAUUUAACCCAACAAAACGUUGUGGUGAAUACUUUGAAAAUUCUCAAGAAUGCAUUGAGUCCAGGUAUCUAUAAUGAGUUUAUUUAUAUUCUUAAACGGUCAUGUUGGAAACUAUCUCAUAUUCAAAAUGCAAAACGUUACCAAAUGUAAGCGUGUAAUUAAUAACAAUAAUGCACAUCAUGCACACUACUACUCUAACUGGAUCCAUUUAGAGUUGCAUGCCAUUGCUUUGCGGCAUCAAUAUAUUGUAUCGCAUGUCAACAUCGACAUUAUAACGUUUUCCACACUAAUGGUAAUGUACACGAUGCGUACAUUUUGAAUAGAAAAUUUAAGGAGUUCCAUUUUUGAAA